UACAGAGGUCCCAAGCGUUGUUCGGAUUCAUUGGGCGUAAAGGGUGCGUAGGCGGCGCGGUAAGUCGGGUGUGAAAUCUCGGAGCUUAACUCCGAAACUGCAUUCGAUACUGCCGUGCUUGAGGACUGGAGAGGAGACUGGAAUUUACGGUGUAGCGGUGAAAUGCCUAGAUAUCAGGAGGAACACCGGUGGCGAAGGCGGUUCUCUGGGCAUGAUCUGACGCUGAGGAGCGAAAGUGUGGGGAGCGAACAGG
This 253-nucleotide ribosomal RNA is filed under the name uncultured bacterium. RNAcentral describes it as "partial 16S ribosomal RNA". It matches the Rfam family "Bacterial small subunit ribosomal RNA", at positions 524 to 776 of the family's 1533-position model. The record is from RNAcentral.